GGCAGUUCUCGAGUGAUGCACCCUGGAAUCAGGCUCCCUCCUCUCUGGUUCUGGGUUGCGCUCAUCACCCGAGAACCACU
This is a non-coding RNA of Myotis lucifugus (little brown bat), 80 nucleotides long. NCBI's taxonomy places the organism in Eukaryota, Metazoa, Chordata, Mammalia, Chiroptera, Vespertilionidae. The record is from Rfam.